This 253-nucleotide ribosomal RNA is filed under the name uncultured bacterium. Its description in RNAcentral is "partial 16S ribosomal RNA". It matches the Rfam family "Bacterial small subunit ribosomal RNA", at positions 524 to 776 of the family's 1533-position model. The record is from RNAcentral.
UACGUAGGGGGCAAGCGUUGUCCGGAAUCAUUGGGCGUAAAGAGCGUGUAGGCGGCCCGGUAAGUCCGCUGUGAAAGUCCAGGGCUCAACCCUGGGAUGCCGGUGGAUACUGUCGGGCUCGAGUCCGGAAGAGGAGUGUGGAAUUCCAGGUGUAGCGGUGAAAUGCGUAGAUAUCUGGAGGAAUACCGGUGGCGAAGGCGGCAUCCUGGACCGGCAUUGACGCUGAGGAGCGAAAGCCAGGGGAGCAAACGGG